Molecule: ribosomal RNA, 429 nt
Filed under: Bacteroidota bacterium
Lineage: Bacteria; Pseudomonadati; Bacteroidota
Description: Bacteroidetes bacterium partial 16S ribosomal RNA
Rfam family: Bacterial small subunit ribosomal RNA
Source: RNAcentral
UAGGGAAUCUUCGGCAAUGGGGGGAACCCUGACCGAGCAACGCCGCGUGAGUGAAGAAGGUUUUCGGAUCGUAAAGCUCUGUUGUUAAGGAAGAACGAGUGUGAGAAUGGAAAGUUCAUGCUGUGACGGUACUUAACCAGAAAGGGACGGCUAACUUCGUGCCAGCAGCCGCGGUAAUACGUAGGUCCCGAGCGUUGUCCGGAUUUAUUGGGCGUAAAGCGAGCGCAGGCGGUUAGAAAAGUCUGAAGUGAAAGGCAGUGGCUCAACCAUUGUAGGCUUUGGAAACUGUUUAACUUGAGUGCAGAAGGGGAGAGUGGAAUUCCAUGUGUAGCGGUGAAAUGCGUAGAUAUAUGGAGGAACACCGGUGGCGAAAGCGGCUCUCUGGUCUGUAACUGACGCUGAGGCUCGAAAGCGUGGGGAGCGAACAGG